AACGCACCUUGCGCUCUUUGGUAUUCCGAAGAGCAUGCCUGUUUGAGUGUCAUGAAGAUAUCAACCUUGACUUGGGUUUUGUGCUCUAGCCUCGGCUUGGAAUUGGGUGCUUGCCGCUUUUACGAGCGGCUCACCUUAAAUGUAUUAGCUGGAUCUGUCUUUGAGACCUGGUUUGACUUGGCGUAAUAAGUAUUUCGCUUAAGGACAUUCUUCGGAGAGGCCUCGUUUCUAGGACGCUUGUCCGCUUUCCAAUACAAUCUCCUCCUCGUGGUCAUGACUUUUUAUUAUCUGGCCUCAAAUCAGGUAGGACUACCUGAAGUUAA
This 323-nucleotide unclassified non-coding RNA is filed under the name uncultured Solicoccozyma. RNAcentral's name for it is "sequence contains ITS2". The stretch from base 1 to 52 matches the Rfam family "5.8S ribosomal RNA", at positions 103 to 154 of the family's 154-position model. The record is from RNAcentral. Lineage: Eukaryota; Fungi; Basidiomycota; Tremellomycetes; Filobasidiales; Piskurozymaceae.